Molecule: long non-coding RNA, 627 nt
Filed under: Brachypodium distachyon (stiff brome)
Lineage: Eukaryota; Viridiplantae; Streptophyta; Magnoliopsida; Poales; Poaceae
Description: long non-coding RNA (BDIS_LNC005974)
Source: RNAcentral
GGCCAACGAGCGUAACUCUUCCACAGGAGCGCGCAAGAGUUGGGAUACUGAAGGAAAAGACGAUUUCUGAACUUGUAUGGGCGGCGGCGCGGGCCGAGUGGAGGGUGCCGGCGCCGCGAUGGCGCGGAAGGCGGCGGUGGCGCGCUGGAGGAGGUCGCCGGCACGGGCUGGGUGGAGGUCGCCGGCGGCGCACUAGGAGGCAACGGCGCCGGCGCAGAGAGAGAAACGAGAGAAAACAUGGCCUACCGGGGUCACGAGUUUACUGGAGGAGGAUUUUUUUUUUCUUUUAAUGUGAAAAGUCUAUUAUGCUCUUCCUGGAUACUUCAUCUAGACUCUACGGACCAUUGGGUACUGUAGAAAACGUCUUAAAAAAAUUACAGAAAACGAAAAAGGGAGAGAAGAAACCACGCGAAUCUCUGCUCUUCCUUUCGUUUCUGGCAACUCGGCAAGCAGCAUCGACCACAAUUCACACCAAGUUCGGCCACCUCUUGGCGAUGAAUUUGCAUAGCACAGGGCAUAUACAUAUACACGUAUUUUUUUUUAGUAUGAUUCCAUUUAUUCAUGGUCUCUGUCAAUGCUAGCGUGUCUUUUCUAGAAGCCUGCGUGUGUCAUUCUUGUGAUUGUUAA